UACGUAGGGUGCAAGCGUUAAUCGGAAUUACUGGGCGUAAAGCGUGCGCAGGCGGUGAUGUAAGACAGGUGUGAAAUCCCCGGGCUUAACCUGGGAACUGCAUUUGUGACUGCAUCGCUGGAGUGCGGCAGAGGGGGAUGGAAUUCCGCGUGUAGCAGUGAAAUGCGUAGAGAUGCGGAGGAACACCGAUGGCGAAGGCAGCCCCCUGGGCCAACACUGACGCUCAUGCACGAAAGCGUGGGGAGCAAACAGG
This 253-nucleotide ribosomal RNA is filed under the name uncultured bacterium. RNAcentral's name for it is "partial 16S ribosomal RNA". It matches the Rfam family "Bacterial small subunit ribosomal RNA", at positions 524 to 776 of the family's 1533-position model. The record is from RNAcentral.